Molecule: ribosomal RNA, 355 nt
Filed under: uncultured Pelotomaculum sp.
Lineage: Bacteria; Bacillati; Bacillota; Clostridia; Eubacteriales; Desulfotomaculaceae
Description: bacterial SSU rRNA
Rfam family: Bacterial small subunit ribosomal RNA
Source: RNAcentral
GGGAGACAGGUGGUGCAUGGUUGUCGUCUAGCUCGUGUCGUGAGAUGUUGGUUAAGUCCGCAACGAGCGCAACCCCUACGUUUAGUUGCUAACGCGUGAAGGCGAGCACUCUAGACGAACUGCCGUUGACAAAACGGAGGAAGGUGGGGAUGACGUCAAAUCAUCAUGCCCCUUAUGUUCUGGGCUACACACGUGCUACAAUGGCCGGUACAGACGGACGCAAAGCCGCGAGGCGGAGCAAAUCCGAAAAAGCCGGUCUCAGUUCGGAUUGCAGGCUGCAAUUCGCCUGCAUGAAGUCGGAAUCGCUAGUAAUCGCAGGUCAGCAUACUCGCGGUCCGAAUACGUUCCGGGCCUU